RNAcentral lists this long non-coding RNA (268 nucleotides) under Durio zibethinus. RNAcentral describes it as "long non-coding RNA (DZIB_LNC002316)". Lineage: Eukaryota; Viridiplantae; Streptophyta; Magnoliopsida; Malvales; Malvaceae. The record is from RNAcentral.
CUGUACUUAAUUUAAACCGAAUAAAAAAUAUCGAUUGGAACCAAACCGAAUAUGUUUCAAAUUAAUUUUCAGAUUUCUUGAUUUUUUUUCUCACCUUUACCCACAUAAAUGUUAAAAAAGAGAAAAAAAAAAAAAAACCCUACGCUUAUAGCUAGUUUGCAUCAUAUACCUAUAUCCAACAGGGGACCCCACCCCCCACAUGAAUUUUUUAUGACUGAAAAUUCAAUAACGUGCACAAAACAAAAGCUUGGGAAUGACCUGGUAAGGG